RNAcentral lists this ribosomal RNA (464 nucleotides) under uncultured bacterium. Its description in RNAcentral is "bacterial SSU rRNA". It matches the Rfam family "Bacterial small subunit ribosomal RNA", at positions 338 to 794 of the family's 1533-position model. The record is from RNAcentral.
CCUACGGGCGGCACCAGUAGGGAAUCUUCGGCAAUGGAUGAAAGUCUGACCGAGCAACGCCGCGUGAGUGAAGAAGGUUUUCGGAUCGUAAAACUCUGUUGGUAGAGAAGAACGUUGGUGAGAGUGGAAAGCUCAUCAAGUGACGGUAACUACCCAGAAAGGGACGGCUAACUACGUGCCAGCAGCCGCGGUAAUACGUAGGUCCCGAGCGUUGUCCGGAUUUAUUGGGCGUAAAGCGAGCGCAGGUGGUUUAUUAAGUCUGGUGUAAAAGGCAGUGGCUCAACCAUUGUAUGCAUUGGAAACUGGUAGACUUGAGUGCAGGAGAGGAGACUGGAAUUCCAUGUGUAGCGGUGAAAUGCGUAGCUAUAUGGAGGAACACCGGUGGCGAAAGCGGCUCUCUGGCCUGUAACUGACACUGAGGCUCGAAAGCGUGGGGAGCAAACAGGAUUAGAUACCCUUGUAUC